GGUGCGCUCCUCUCUUUACCCCUCAGAGCCAGGCUGGGGCGCGCUCCGGUCUGGACCGGGCGCUUCUCCUUCCUCGGGGCCGCAUCCGGUCACCCCGCCCUAGGGUUGAGAGGCCAGUAACUGCUAAUCUCCCCCAGCGGCUGGGGACGUGGCGCAACCCUGUCCGGGGAGACUAAACAAGGAGAGGAACAGGCUGUAAACACAUCUCCUGACACGCAGGGAUGUUGCUCUUGGAGAAUGUGAAGACAGUUUGCUUCUUGACAAGCGAGCGAACGGGCGCCCAGAUUUCUGCAGCCUUCCCGAGUCUCCCCCGAGGGAAAGGCGGGCAGAGAAAACGCCAGAUUUGGGAGCCACCAGGGAAGGGUUCUGCUCAGGGAAGUCACCCUCUUGGCCCCACUUUUCUGCCUGGGGCCCCCAUUUGGGGACCGCCGGUGGCUGACCACAGACUCUAAGGGUGGUGCUGGGAUUUGGGGUGGGGCAAACCACUUGAAUAAUAACUAUAAAGAAGAAAGAGGCAAAAUCAACACUUCUCCCCUGCUUUGAAGUGGAAAGGGUGGUUCCUAGAGCUUCUGGCUCCAGCCACAAGGCCAGUUGCCUGCCUCUAUUCCCCGAAUAGAAUGUAACGUCUCCUGUGUUUUAAGCGUGCUUGCAUCAUUCAGCAAAUUACACUCCUUGCUUACCAAA
Long non-coding RNA from Cavia porcellus (domestic guinea pig), 684 nucleotides. RefSeq lists it as uncharacterized. The record is from RefSeq and is a predicted model, not a curated record. The transcript is spliced from 2 exons. NCBI's taxonomy places the organism in Eukaryota, Metazoa, Chordata, Mammalia, Rodentia, Caviidae.